Molecule: ribosomal RNA, 237 nt
Filed under: uncultured bacterium
Lineage: Bacteria
Description: partial 16S ribosomal RNA
Rfam family: Bacterial small subunit ribosomal RNA
Source: RNAcentral
ACGAACGCUGGCGGCGCGCCUAAUACAUGCAAGUCGAGCGAGAAGGUGUAGCAAUACACUUGUAAAGCGGCGAACGGGUGAGGAAUACAUGGGUAACCUACCCUCGAGUGGGGAAUAACUAGCCGAAAGGUUAGCUAAUACCGCGUACGCUUCCGGAACUGCGGUUCCGGAAGGAAAGCGAUACUGUGAGUAUCGCGCUCUUGGAUGGGCUCAUGUCCUAUCAGCUUGUUGGGAGGU